GCCGUCUACCUGAUGGGGGGUACUUUAUAUUUAAAUGAUCACAUAAAUUUUUCACUAAUAAAAAUAAAUUCAUGCAGCUGAAAGGGGAAAAGGAAAAAAGAAAAUUGGGGUUGGUGGGGGCGGGUUGCUGUGGGGUGUGGUUGGUUCAUGGCCUCCAUUAACUCUAUCAUUGUUUGCAUAUUGAAUAAAAUGAAUUUAAAUGCUUUCUUCUAAUUUUUAGAACAUUAAUCUUAUGGAACUGAAUAUUGAAUUUAGUAGCUCCCUGUCUUUUCAUUAAGGUUUGAUCGUGACUGGAAAAAGA
Molecule: unclassified non-coding RNA, 301 nt
Filed under: Hevea brasiliensis (rubber tree)
Lineage: Eukaryota; Viridiplantae; Streptophyta; Magnoliopsida; Malpighiales; Euphorbiaceae
Source: RNAcentral